GAGUGAACGCACCGCUGGUGUUCGGGUUGUCAUGCCAAUGGCACUGCCCGGUAGCUAAGUGCGGAAGAGAUAAGUGCUGAAAGCAUCUAAGCACGAAACUUGCCCCGAGAUGAGUUCUCCCUGACCCUUUAAGGGUCCUGAAGGGACGUUGAAGACGACGACGUUGAUAGGCCGGGUGUGUAAGCGCAGCGAUGCGUUGAGCUAACCGGUACUAAUGACCCGUGAGGCUUAACCUUACAACGCCAGAGGCGUUU
Molecule: ribosomal RNA, 254 nt
Filed under: Pantoea sp. ICBG 828
Lineage: Bacteria; Pseudomonadati; Pseudomonadota; Gammaproteobacteria; Enterobacterales; Erwiniaceae
Also listed under: 1 other name
Description: partial 23S ribosomal RNA
Rfam family: Bacterial large subunit ribosomal RNA
Source: RNAcentral